CAGCAGCCGCGGUAACACGAAGGGUGCAAGCGUUACUCGGAAUUACUGGGCGUAAAGCGUGCGUAGGUGGUGGUUUAAGUCCGUUGUGAAAGCCCUGGGCUCAACCUGGGAAUUGCAGUGGAUACUGGGUCACUAGAGUGUGGUAGAGGAUAGUGGAAUUUCCGGUGUAGCAGUGAAAUGCGUAGAGAUCGGAAGGAACAUCUGUGGCGAAGGCGACUAUCUGGGCCAACACUGACACUGAGGCACGAAAGCGUGGGGAGCAAACAGGAUUAGAUACCCCCGUAGUCCCUGUCUCUUAUAC
This 301-nucleotide ribosomal RNA is filed under the name uncultured bacterium. RNAcentral's name for it is "partial 16S ribosomal RNA". It matches the Rfam family "Bacterial small subunit ribosomal RNA", at positions 509 to 807 of the family's 1533-position model. The record is from RNAcentral.